Solanum dulcamara is the source of this 104-nucleotide small nuclear RNA. Lineage: Eukaryota; Viridiplantae; Streptophyta; Magnoliopsida; Solanales; Solanaceae. The record is from RefSeq and is a predicted model, not a curated record.
GUCCCUUUGAUGGCAUUCGAUAAAAUUGGAACGAUACAGAGAAGAUUAGUAUGGUCUCUACGCAAGGAUGACACGCACAAAUCCGAGAAAUGAUCCAAAAAAAA